This 70-nucleotide transfer RNA is filed under the name Ictidomys tridecemlineatus (thirteen-lined ground squirrel). Its description in RNAcentral is "Spermophilus tridecemlineatus (thirteen-lined ground squirrel) tRNA". It matches the Rfam family "tRNA". From Rfam's summary of the family: Transfer RNA (tRNA) molecules are approximately 80 nucleotides in length. Their secondary structure includes four short double-helical elements and three loops (D, anti-codon, and T loops). The record is from Rfam by way of RNAcentral. Lineage: Eukaryota; Metazoa; Chordata; Mammalia; Rodentia; Sciuridae.
GGGGAUAUAACUCAGUUGGUAGAGUGCUUGUCUCACAUGCACGAGGCCCUGGGUUCAAUCCCCAGCACCA